This 484-nucleotide ribosomal RNA is filed under the name uncultured bacterium. RNAcentral describes it as "partial 16S ribosomal RNA". It matches the Rfam family "Bacterial small subunit ribosomal RNA", at positions 29 to 507 of the family's 1533-position model. The record is from RNAcentral.
AUUGAACGCUGGCGGCAUGCUUUACACAUGCAAGUCGAACGGCAGCGCGGGCUUCGGCCUGGCGGCGAGUGGCGAACAGGUGAGUAAUACAUCGGAACGUGCCCAGUAGUGGGGGAUAGCUCGGCGAAAGCCGGAUUAAUACCGCAUACGACCUGAGGGUGAAGGCGGGGGAUCUUCGGACCUCGCGCUAUUGGAGCGGCCGAUGGCAGAUUAGCUAGUUGGUGGGGUAAAGGCCUACCAAGGCGACGAUCUGUAGCUGGUCCGAGAGGACGACCAGCCACACUGGGACUGAGACACGGCCCAGACUCCUACGGGAGGCAGCAGUGGGGAAUUUUGGACAAUGGGCGAAAGCCUGAUCCAGCAAUGCCGCGUGUGUGAUGAAGGCCUUCGGGUUGUAAAGCACUUUUGGCGGGAACGAAAAGGACUGUGCCAAUACCACGGUUCGAUGACGGUACCCGCAGAAUAAGCACCGGCUAACUACGUG